CAAGCGGUGGAUGAUGUGGAUUAAUUCGAUGCAACGCGAAAAACCUUACCUACCCUUGACAUGUCAGGAAUCUUGGAGAGAUUCGAGAGUGCCCGAAAGGGAACCUGAACACAGGUGCUGCAUGGCUGUCGUCAGCUCGUGUCGUGAGAUGUUGGGUUAAGUCCCGCAACGAGCGCAACCCUUGUCAUUAGUUGCUACGAAAGAGCACUCUAAUGAGACUGCCGGUGACAAACCGGAGGAAGGUGGGGAUGACGUCAAGUCCUCAUGGCCCUUAUGGGUAGGGCUUCACACGUCAUACAAUGGUACAUACAGAGGGCCGCCAACCCGCGAGGGGGAGCUAAUCCCAGAAAGUGUAUCGUAGUCCGGAUUGUAGUCUGCAACUCGACUGCAUGAAGUUGGAAUCGCUAGUAAUCGCGGAUCAGCAUGUCGCGGUGAAUACGUUCCCGGGUCUUGUACACACC
RNAcentral lists this ribosomal RNA (461 nucleotides) under uncultured bacterium. Its description in RNAcentral is "bacterial SSU rRNA". It matches the Rfam family "Bacterial small subunit ribosomal RNA", at positions 926 to 1391 of the family's 1533-position model. The record is from RNAcentral.